Vicia faba (fava bean) is the source of this 240-nucleotide non-coding RNA. The record is from the annotation of a GenBank genome assembly. Lineage: Eukaryota; Viridiplantae; Streptophyta; Magnoliopsida; Fabales; Fabaceae.
AUGUUACGGCCAGCAAGAUCUUUGUCACUCGGCAGUUCACGGCAUCACGAUCGGUCAUCACUGUCAAUCUUCCCACCUGCUUCGGUACGAUUCAGUUCUCAGAUUCGCUCAAUCUUUCAAUCUUCUUCAACUCGGAUUUCAUCUCCGCGUUUAAGAUUCACGCCUCUCAGCUUCGCUUUCAAUGCAUCUCAACUUUUGGAUUUCAAAGCCGUGAAUCAAUCCUUCUCCACUGAUUUUUGA